This 1347-nucleotide ribosomal RNA is filed under the name unidentified. Its description in RNAcentral is "Peltoperlopsis sagittata 16S ribosomal RNA". The stretch from base 903 to 1272 matches the Rfam family "Bacterial large subunit ribosomal RNA", at positions 2073 to 2647 of the family's 2925-position model. The record is from RNAcentral.
UGAAAAUAAGAAAUUUAAUUUGUUUUUGCUGUUUAUAGAAUUUUUUAAUUAAUAAAAUUAUUUUUAAGAAUUUGAGUUUUGGUAUAGGUUAUGGAUAAAAUUUUUAGGUUGAUAGUUUAUUUGUAUUGUAGGAGGUUAUUGAAAUAUUUUGAAAAUUUUAAUUUUUAAAAAGUAAUUUGAUUUGGUGUACCUUGUGUAUCAGGGUUUAUUAAAAAAUUUUUAAUUAUUUAAAUUUUCUCGAUUUUAAAAGGGUUAAUUAAUUUUGUUGUUUAUUGUGUAAUAAAUAUCAAUGAAAAUUAUUUAGUAAUGAAAUGUUAUUCGUUUUUAAAGAUAUCUAGUUUUUUGAGAAAUGAAUUUAAUUCAGCUGACAAUUGGUUUAUUGUAAUUGAUUAAUUAAUUUAUGGAGUUGAUUGUUAGUAAUAUUUUAGGGGAUAAGCUUUAGGAUAUUUUUUAAAAAGGAUUUGUUUAAGGAGGAAAUUAAGUAGGCUUAGAAUUAGCUGUCUAUAAAGAUGUUAUAAUUUUAUUUCUUUUUUUAAUUAUUUUCUUUAAUUUUGAGUUUUACAUCAAAAUUGUUUUAUUAAUUUUUAAUUAAUGGUUAUUAUGAUAGAAUUAGUAUAAGGUUUUUAUGUUAAAUAAGUUUUUAUUUUAUGUAAGGUUACAUUAAGGAAUUAGGCAAAUUUAUGCUCGCCUGUUUAACAAAAACAUGUCUUUAUGGGUUGAAAUAUAAAGUCUGACCUGCCCACUGAAAUUAUUUGAAGGGCCGCGGUAUUUUGACCGUGCAAAGGUAGCAUAGUCAUUAGUCUUUUAAUUGGAGGCUAGAAUGAAUGGUUGGACGAGGUAUAGACUGUCUCGGUGUUAUUGUGAUUAGAAUUUAACUUUUAAGUUAAAAGGCUUAAAUUUUUUUAAAGGACGAGAAGACCCUAUAGAGCUUUAUAUUAAAUAGUAUUUAUGUAUUUGUGGUUAAGUUGAUUUGUAUAUUAGACUGUGAAAUAUUUUGUUGGGGUGACAGGAAGAUUUUGUAAACUCUUUUUUAAAAAUUACAUUGAUUUAUGAUUGGUUGAUCCAUUAAUAGUGAUUAUAAGACUAAGUUACCUUAGGGAUAACAGCGUAAUCUUUUUUGAGAGUUCUUAUCGACGAAAAGGAUUGCGACCUCGAUGUUGGAUUAAAAGUAAUCUUGGGUGUAGAAGUUCAAGUUUUGAGUCUGUUCGACUUUUAAAUUUUUACAUGAUCUGAGUUCAGACCGGCGUAAGCCAGGUCGGUUUCUAUCUUUAAUGAUUUAUGAUGUUUUAGUACGAAAGGACCAAAUAUUGGAAAUAAUGUUUUUUAAAAAUUGAUUUAAAUUAAUAU